UACGGAGGAUGCGAGCGUUAUCCGGAUUUAUUGGGUUUAAAGGGUGCGUGGGCGGACUGUCAAGUCAGCGGUAAAAUUGAGAGGCUCAACCUCUUCCCGCCGUUGAAACUGGUGGUCUUGAGUGGAUGAGAAGUACGCGGAAUGCGUGGUGUAGCGGUGAAAUGCAUAGAUAUCACGCAGAACUCCGAUUGCGAAGGCAGCGUACCGGCAUCCAACUGACGCUGAGGCACGAAAGCGUGGGGAUCAAACAGG
This 252-nucleotide ribosomal RNA is filed under the name uncultured bacterium. Its description in RNAcentral is "partial 16S ribosomal RNA". It matches the Rfam family "Bacterial small subunit ribosomal RNA", at positions 524 to 776 of the family's 1533-position model. The record is from RNAcentral.